GUUGACUUGGUCACUUGCUUUAAUCUAGGUACUUUGGGUUCUUUGUGGAUACCUGUUGAGAUCUUCACAUCCUAACAUUUUCAAUGCAUGUGCAGCUUUCGAGGACUUGCACUUGGGGAAGUAAAUUAUAAGCAACCACUUAGUAGUAAAUAGGAAAAAAUUACACAAAAGCAAAAGAGACAAAUGGUAUAAGAGUAGUCUUAUCUUUUUUAUUGUAACAACUAAAACUAGGGUUAGGAUUUUGGAAUGGUGAAAUAGAAAAUAAUAAAAUCAGGCCUUACCCACUGACCGUUCUAGCCGUUGCAACCUCUAGAUGUGCUUGAAAGUUACUGCUCCAUUUUUUGCUCUAUUUUAUGCCGUUUAUAGCCUAUAAAUAUGUGUGAUCUCUAUAAAUGAAAACAUCAGAAUCUAUUACCUUAAGCAAAUUUAAUUUCUCUUUUUCUCUAUUAUUACUUUCCCUUUUUUAGAUUAGAGUCAUGAAAAGUGCCUCUAAAAAGGUGUUUCCUUAAUAUAUAACUCAAUCUACAAAUAUAACAAACCAAUCAAGAGUUUCAUCAAUCUAUAACUAAUCUUAACCAAGCCAAAAGGUUUUUUAAAAUUUAUAUUAAAGCACAUGGGGUAAAAUUCCUUUCACACCCAUGAGAGACUAUUUUCCUACACAAGAGAAAUUUUUAUCCCUCUCUGU
RNAcentral lists this long non-coding RNA (685 nucleotides) under Carica papaya (papaya). RNAcentral describes it as "long non-coding RNA (CPAP_LNC000856)". Lineage: Eukaryota; Viridiplantae; Streptophyta; Magnoliopsida; Brassicales; Caricaceae. The record is from RNAcentral.